This 494-nucleotide ribosomal RNA is filed under the name uncultured bacterium. Its description in RNAcentral is "partial 16S ribosomal RNA". It matches the Rfam family "Bacterial small subunit ribosomal RNA", at positions 28 to 507 of the family's 1533-position model. The record is from RNAcentral.
GACGAACGCUGGCGGCGUGCUUAACACAUGCAAGUCGAACGGUGAAGCGCCUUCCUUUUUGGUGGGUGUGGAUGAGUGGCGAACGGGUGAGUAACACGUGAGUAACCUGCCCCCUUCUUCUGGAUAACCGCAUGAAAGUGUGGCUAAUACGGGAUAUUCUGGGUCUGUCGCAUGAUGGGUCUGGGAAAGAUAUUGUUUCGGUGGGGGAUGGGCUCGCGGCCUAUCAGCUUGUUGGUGGGGUGAUGGCCUACCAAGGCGGUGACGGGUAGCCGGCCUGAGAGGGUGGACGGUCACACUGGGACUGAGACACGGCCCAGACUCCUACGGGAGGCAGCAGCGGGGAAUAUUGCACAAUGGGCGCAAGCCUGAUGCAGCGACGCCGCGGGAGGGAUGGAGGCCUUCGGGUUGUGAACCUCUUUCGCCAGUGAAGCAGGCCUGCCUCGUUUGUGGGUGGGUUGACGGUAGCUGGAUAAGAAGCGCCGGCUAACUACGUG